ACCAGGUAGCAUUCCUCUUUGCCGCCGACACCGCAUGAGUAACAGGACGAAUAUCGUCCCGGAGUCAACACGGGGCACGUCAGGCUUUUGUAAGGGACAAUUGAUUCGGGCAAAAAGGGGACAAGGACCCCGACCGAUCAUGCUUCUACAUACAAGACUUCGAGCGACACUUGGGCGUCCGACACCUGCAAGCUACAUAGGCAAAGCAAGGGCGGACGUCCAUGGAAGCUUCAGUGUCUACAUCGCACAAAACAUUUUGGCACGAGAUAGAAUAGGGGACCGUGGGACUAGACAAUUCCGUCAAAACAGGUAUGCUACACAGGGGGCCAAGCCGAUCCAAGGCAAAAUAUUUAGCGCUCGGACAGAAUUGAACAGGUGUGAACCAGCGGUUGUCGCUACCGAGGCAGGGAACCAACCAACCGGAACAUACC
This 431-nucleotide unclassified non-coding RNA is filed under the name Prangos eriantha. RNAcentral's name for it is "partial external transcribed spacer". The record is from RNAcentral. Lineage: Eukaryota; Viridiplantae; Streptophyta; Magnoliopsida; Apiales; Apiaceae.